GUGUGUGAGGGCAUGAGCGCUCCGUGACAAGUUAUGCGGAACUUGUGCCUCCUCCUCAGCAUGUCUGUGUUGUGGUUUCCUAUUUACUGACACUUCAUGAACCAGGUUCAGACCGACUCCGCGGAGCGUUCAGGGUCUGACAGCGACUGAGCGGCGGGAGGUGAGCAUGUACAGCCGGGAUGACUGAGCGCAAGUGUUGACAUCAAAUUAGAGUGCAAAGAUUAAAACUAUGAAUUUAUUACAGCAUUUUUGCUGGUCAGUGUUGAUAUGAAGUAGGCGUGAGUGUUUUUAAACCUCCUUGUUUUAUAUUUUUCGCUUCUUGAGUGCUUUUUUUUACUUGUCGCGCGACGCUAAACUAGCUAAUAAAAAUGAAGUUUAACGGUUAUCUGAAGCUCCGGAUCGGCGAGGCGGUGGACCUGACGCCGACCACCUUCUCCCUCCGUCACGCUGUCAUCUUCAACAAAGCCCCCCCAGCCUUAGACCCCUACGUCGUGGUGAAGGUGGACGAGGUGAAAAUUGGACAAACUCUCACCAAACAGAAAACCAACACGCCGACGUUCAACGAGGAGUUUUGCCUCAACGUGUCCGACGGGAAACAGAUCGAGUUGGCCGUUUUCCACGACACACCGAUCGGAUACGAUGACUUUGUGGCCAACUGCAUCAUCCAGUUUGAGGACCUCAUCAAAACCUCCAACACAGGAGAGACUUUCGAGGGAUGGAUGGAUUUGGAGCCAGAGGGUAAAGUUUACGUCCACAUUACGCUCACUGGAUCCUUCACUGAUGAUGAUGCCAUAGUGAAAGAGAAGAAAUACAAGCAGUUUACAAGGAAGCGUCACGGGGCAGUGAAACGAAGGAUCCACCAAGUCAACGGACACAAGUUCAUGUCCACUUUCCUCCGUCAGCCCACCUUUUGUUUUCACUGCAAAGAGUUCAUCUGGGGUGUUUUUGGAAAGCAGGGUUACCAGUGCCAAGUGUGUACCUGCGUGGUUCACAAACGAUGCCACCAGCAGGUCGUUACUGUUUGUCCUCGCAUGAAGAAGCCGGCAAAAGAUCAGCCUGUAACCCAAGGCUUCAGCAUCAACGUGCCUCACAUGUUCAACAUCCACAACUACAAGUCGCCCACCUUCUGUGACCACUGCGGCUCACUGCUGUGGGGAAUAGUCCGUCAGGGGCUGCACUGUAAAAUCUGCAAAAUGAAUGUUCAUAUCCGCUGCAAAGGCAACGUCGCUCCCAGCUGUGGGGUCAACAGUGUCGAACUGGCCAAUGCGCUUGCAGAAAUGGGUCUACAGGCUGGAGGACUCUCUAAACGCAACUCAGUGGCCAGUGCCAGUCAGGUGAGGGUGCCUUCUCAAAGAAGAGAGAGUACUCCCACUCAGCAGGAGACGCCUCGGCUGGGCAUCUCAGACUUCACGUUCCUUCAAGUUCUUGGCAAAGGCAGUUUUGGCAAGGUGAUGCUGGCGAAACUAAACAGCAAAGAUCGGGUUUUUGCGGUCAAAGUGUUGAAGAAGGACAUAAUUUUGCAGGAUGACGAUGUGGAGUGCACCAUGACUGAAAAGAGGGUGCUGUCUCUGGCCCGCUGUCACCCCUACCUCACACAGCUGUACUGCUGCUUCCAGACGCCGGAUCGUCUCUUCUUUGUGAUGGAGUUUGUGAAUGGAGGUGAUCUUAUGUUCCACAUUCAGAAGUCCAGGAAGUUUGAAGAGCCAAGAGCACGUUUCUACACAGCAGAGAUCACCUCUGCUCUCAUGUUCCUGCACAACAAAGGCAUCAUCUACAGGGAUCUAAAACUGGACAAUGUUCUUCUUGACAAAGACGGUCACUGUAAGCUGGCGGACUUUGGCAUGUGCAAAGAGGGCAUAUUUGAAGGCGGCGCCGCCACAGGUACUUUCUGUGGAACCCCAGAUUACAUCGCCCCUGAGAUCCUGCAGGAGAUGCUGUAUGGGCCCUCUGUCGAUUGGUGGGCUCUCGGGGUGCUGCUGUAUGAAAUGCUGUCGGGGCACGCCCCCUUUGAGGCCGAAAAUGAAGACGACCUCUUUGAAUCCAUUCUCAAUGAAGAGAUUGUUUACGCGUCGUGGCUCAGCACAGAGGCAGUGAAUAUACUCAAAGCUACUGACUGACACCCUCUGACUGCAGAGUGACUGGAAGCCCUACGGAGCUCUGGCUGCCAGCUGUUUGGCCCAGCCUGGGUCUCUUACAUAACUAUAUUAAGGCAUGGUCCGCUGGCCAGCCACAGCACACAGGCUAUAAAUACGAAGACACCUCCUCCUCCUCCUCCUCCUCCUUCUCCUCCUCCUCCUCCUCCUCCCAUCUUUGCACCCAGUUCUCCUCUUAUCCUUGCUGUUAUUCCAACAUGCUUGAGGAAGCACAGGGCCGAUCUCCCCUGGUGAUUUGUGUCACUGCUGCCAGUGUCACACGUUACGUAAAGAUGCUUGGCGGUGUGAGAGGAUUUGAGCGCUGCUGCACUAUUUAUACUGAAGGUUGAUCCGCUGCAUGGUUCUCCUCGUUCCUAUGAGCAAGGUCAUGGAGUUCAUUUGAGUUAGUUAUGAAUGAUUACUUUUUCAGUAAUAACUGAGGUUUAUUUUUAGAGGUUUGUGUAAAGUUGCUCAACAAAUAGGUGGAUGUUGAUUACCAGAAGCUAUUAAUUAAGGCUUUAACAAAUUAUUACUUUCAUUGUUGUUUUUUGAUUUAUCAGUUAAUCUUUUAAUCUAUAUAAAAUCAGAAAACGCUUUUAAUUGCCCAUCACUAUAUCCCAGGAAAGAAAGAAAGAUUCAGUUUCAUUUAAUGAUAUAACACACACAUUACAGAAGCUGGGAGCAGCAGGUAUUUGAGAUUUUUGCUUUAAAUGCAAACUGAUUAAUCUAUUAAAUCAAAAUUUGUUCAUUAGUUUACUUAUUUUCUGCCAAACCCCCUUUAAAAAAUAUGACAUAUUAACUAUUCCAUACAUGUCAGCAAAAACACAUAACUCUAGAAACACAAGAUAAAAGGCCUCAUGUGACUUCAGCAUUCAAUUUCAAUUCUGCAUCAAUAUAAUUUUGCGUACAGAUUUUACAUUUUGGAGUUUGUUGCCUCAACUAGCUACCAGCAUCCGUUGGUUAGCUGUGCUGUUUUCGUUGUAGGAGACAGUGGGAAUGAGAGGCGAACCAUUUCGAAAAUUAAGAUUUCUCAGUAAAAUAAGUUCUGGUUGCCCAAUUAUAUCCUAAACCUUAUUCACUACAAGAGUUUCUUCUCCUUUUCCACAGUACCAGAGAACUGAGACUUAGUCACAUUCUUGCGCCUCCCUGGAGUCUCCUCUGUAUUUACUGUCUGCCCGCUUUACUGCUGUUUGGCGCCGGAGAGAGCGCAGCUAUUAGUUGUUUACAAAGUUAAUUUCAUUGAAUUAUUUGCAUGAGCAAGAGACAAAAUACAAAAGACAAAAAACGUAUGAUAAUACUAAAAUUGUUUGAUUUUAUCGGAAAGUCAAGUUGAAAAAAAAAAGUCUGACUUAAGACAGCUCAGACAGAGUUUUUUGAUGACCUUACACCAAACGAACUCUAACGAUUAAACUCCAACUGGAAAUUUUUCUGCAACAGUAAAAUCGUUUGAAAAGUCAUUUGGUGUAAGGUUGGCACAAAGAUUUCAGCAGAACUCAUUUCUGAUUUCUUUGUGUCUUUCCGCUGCUGUUGUGGAAAAUGGGCACUUCAUGUAGCAACGCUGACAUGGCAGGCCUGGUGCUCAGGAUGGCACAACUGACGUGUAAACUGUGGAAAGAAGUUGCCAUCAGAUUCCGUGCAGCAGUUUUUUUUUAAGUUUUGUGGUCUGUGAGCUCCUGAACUGAUUGACCCCUGCUGGUCUGUCUAACUCAGUCAUUUCCACUUCAAGGCCCAUACUGGUGCUGCUGGUAUGUGUUUGUUUGUUUUUUUUUUUAAAUGUUUUUGCAUAUAAAAUACAAAUCAGGUCAUCACAAUCAUGCUCACGCCUGCAAAUACUUGUGUGAGCAUUGCACUGUAAUGUUUCGAACCCGAAAAACAUUCCACAGCAAUGUUAACAGCAAUGUUUUAUCUGUGUCAAUGCAGAAUUCAAGUCUAUACAAGGUUAUGGUGUUCUUACAUCAACUGAAAACCAAAGCUGCUUAGAAGCUGUUGUUUGCUUUUGGAAAUGUGUAUAUGUGUGAGUUUAAUUCAUUUUCAGAGUUAUUUAUGAGGACUAAACUACACAGAACCAAGUUCUUUUAAAUUCAUCCCCUCUUGAUCGUUUCAUUUUCUCUUUUGUGCUGUUCUUUAUCUGCAUUGACGUCUCUCUAAUCUCCUUUCUCUUUCUCUGUGAUCUUAGUUUUGCUGAGGCAUGUAGUGUUAUUUAAGCCUCUGGUUCUUAAUAGUGUUUGGAGCUGAUACAGUAAUUCAUAUUGAUCUUUUUCAAACGCUUUGGGUAAAUCUGGCCACUGUCGCUGUGGAGACGGUGGCCUGUUAUUUUGUUGUGGCCUCGUCUGAAUGUCACCGUCAGCCCUUAGGUGUACACAGACUCCUCGGCCAAGAGAGAGCCGUCCAAAACACAUUUGUUUUCUUAGAGUCCUCCCAGAGGCAAGUUAAAACAAAGUUUCUCAAUUUUGAGUUUGUUUUAUUUAGACCUCUCCCUGUGGCCUUUACCACCCACCACUACUUUGGUGGCAGAGACACAGUUGGAGUUCAACAGGUGAUUCACUGUUCUAUUGUUUUAUUGUGUUCAGCACCAGGAAGUUGAGACACCAGAGUUGCACUUGACUGGACUCAGCUGAACUCUUUUCAACUUUUGCAUUGUGGGAGGUGCCUGAUACAAUCCAGGGUGUGUUUUUUGUGUUUGGAGGCGGGUAGUGACUGGAUGUUACACUGGCUCAAAUCCAGUUUGGCAAUACUCCCAAAAAUUCCUGGUCUGAUCUAGUUUAUAACCGUCACAUUUCCUCACAUUGUACACAUCAUCACCAACCUGCUGAAAUUCACUAUUGACCAAAAACCCCACCCGGCGUCUGGGCUGUGUGCCCUCAGAGGGUGGAGAGAGCGCUGUGACCAGCCAUGCCUUCUUCACUGGCAUCGAUUGGGAGAAGCUGAACUGUAGAGAAAUAGAGCCCCCUUUCAAACCCAGGAUC
Molecule: non-coding RNA, 5098 nt
Organism: Plectropomus leopardus (leopard coralgrouper)
Lineage: Eukaryota; Metazoa; Chordata; Actinopteri; Perciformes; Serranidae
Source: RefSeq, a predicted model, not a curated record